AGAUUGAACGCUGGCGGCAGGCCUAACACAUGCAAGUCGAGCGGCAGCACGGGUACUUGUACCUGGUGGCGAGCGGCGGACGGGUGAGUAAUGCCUAGGAAUCUGCCUGGUAGUGGGGGAUAACGCUCGGAAACGGACGCUAAUACCGCAUACGUCCUACGGGAGAAAGCAGGGGACCUUCGGGCCUUGCGCUAUCAGAUGAGCCUAGGUCGGAUUAGCUAGUUGGUGAGGUAAUGGCUCACCAAGGCGACGAUCCGUAACUGGUCUGAGAGGAUGAUCAGUCACACUGGAACUGAGACACGGCCCAGACCUCCGUACGGGAGCAGCA
Molecule: ribosomal RNA, 328 nt
Filed under: uncultured soil bacterium
Lineage: Bacteria
Description: bacterial SSU rRNA
Rfam family: Bacterial small subunit ribosomal RNA
Source: RNAcentral